Molecule: long non-coding RNA, 249 nt
Filed under: Elaeis guineensis (African oil palm)
Lineage: Eukaryota; Viridiplantae; Streptophyta; Magnoliopsida; Arecales; Arecaceae
Description: long non-coding RNA (EGUI_LNC073364)
Source: RNAcentral
AUUCAUUCAUAGCCAUCUGAGAGCCUUCGAAAUCAUUAUAUCUUUUUCUUAAAGCAUACAUAUACAUAGAUGAAAAAAUAAUAAAAUUCAUGCUUCAUAAUCAUGCUAUUUUCAUAAGACAUAUUCAUGAAAUCAAUGCUCAUAAUAAAACAUACUUUUUCAUAUCACAUAUGUCGAUCCUUAUUUUAUAAAAAAUUAUGAUUUCAUCAAUAGCAAUUCUUUGCAUAAAAAUAUGAUCAUUUAAAAAUA